Aricia agestis (brown argus) is the source of this 408-nucleotide long non-coding RNA. RefSeq lists it as uncharacterized. NCBI's taxonomy places the organism in Eukaryota, Metazoa, Arthropoda, Insecta, Lepidoptera, Lycaenidae. The record is from RefSeq and is a predicted model, not a curated record. The transcript has 3 exons.
GAACAUUUAUAGCGCGAUCGAAAAAUCUUGGUUCUUUGGUAAGAAAAAUAUUUUAUUUUGUUGAACUAAUGGGAAACAAAAUGAAGAUGUUUUUAGCAAAGAAAAGAAAACGCAAAAAUGUAGAAAAUUUGGAAAGUUUGGAAAAGGCAAGAGAGGCCAAAAUGUUGCUAUAAUUAUCACUGUUAUCCUUACUUCAACUAUUUUUUUCAUUUAAUUACUUACUUAGUCUUACAAAUAACAUGUUUUGUGUGGUUUCUGUUUGUAUUUCAGGCAAUAUAAAAGUAAAUCAACUGAAGAAACAAUAACGGAAAAAGAUGAAUGUGAAAACCAACACGCAGAAAAGAGAAAAGAACGACCAACAACUAUGGAGUUUUGGUCGCGAUUACUUAAGGAGGUAUCCAGUUCUGA